AUUGCUAGCCAAAUAACAGACCAUAGAAUUAAAACCAAAUAUUUUUUGAUUGCUCUGUUUCUCAAAACGGCUUGAAGUUCUUAUACAUGCAAACCUACCUCUUUUAAAAAUUAUUGCAUACGCUGCACAUCACACGCUCGAAGUUUCUUAACUCUUUCCGCAUGCAGAGCGUCAUCAAGUCCUUAAUGGAUUUUAUAUCUGCUAACUUUCAGCUUUUCACCAUUCGUUCAAUUAAUCAAGAGCUUCUCCCUGUCAAUUUACAAGAUUUUUCCAGUCUUCUGGAUGCACUAAAAUCGCUAGGCACUGAUGUAUGUUACAAGGAAGAAGACAUCCACCAACUGGCUGGCAAAGCCUUAUCCAGUGCGACCCGAGCUCAUUUUUUUGUUAAGGAGAAAAAAUGUGUCGGCAUUUAUGUCAAAGUAUUUUCAGAAACCGAUUCGAUUUUGAUUUGUGUUUCUAUUUGGCAUGCAGAAAGUUCUUGUCGCUCUACCAUCUAUAGUCUCACUCCAGAUGGUUUCGAAGGGCAAUACUGGUACCAGAGUUUAGAGCGGGUUUUGACCUCAAUACUCACUCGUUCGCAUAAGGCCGAGCUGCCUACUGCCGCUUCUUUUGACGAGCUUCCGGACUCCAGGUCUUUUCGCAUUUCUGUUCAUACUCAUUCAUAUUCAGAUGCACUGCACGACCUAAUCGAUUCAGGACAUUCCUACUUUAUGAUUGAUUUGCAUGGUGAAAUCUGUACGGACAUUGAGAGAGGCCGCAUCAAAAUCUUAUUUUGUGGCUCUUUUAACCCAUUACAUGAAGGACACGUUGGUCUGUUUCAGGUCUCUUUGAGCCAUAUUUCAGAGAAACACCCGCAUAUUGAAGCGGCAUUCGAACUGAGCGUGGUCAAUGCGGAUAAGGGACGUAUCGUAGAACAAGUCUUACACAGAGCGGCCCAAUUUGCAGGAAGAUACAAUCUCAUUAUUACGCAAGCUGCUACAUUUAUUGAAAAAGCAAGAAUUUUUCCCAAUACAAUUUUUGUGGUUGGGUUUGAUACGAUUGUUCGAGUUCUCAAAAUGGAGUACUACGGGGGUACUGAGAAGGGCCUUGUUGGUUUUUUGCGAGAGUUUGAGGAGUUGAAUUGUUCUUUUUUGGUUGGAGGAAGAGUUGUCGACGACAGGCGUAGUUUUAUGACAAUGAGUCAGGUGGUGUUUACGGAGAAGACUAAAAAAUAUGCACAUUUAUUUCAGCCUAUUGAUACAUUUCGACUGGACAUUAGUUCAACGGAGUUGAGGAAGAUUCAUUCACUUUCGUGAUGCAGGAAAUGUAAAAGGAAGGUUCAGGGCCUCGUGAAGGAUAUAAUUUUAUUAUUUUAGUAUCGGUACAAUACAACAGAUUGCGUCUUUUUUUGAGAUGUGUUUUUGUAUUUGUAUUUCUGUUUGUCUCGCCGAGGUAUGGCAUUGCAUUUCGCUCGCUAUGUACUACCACAUCGAUGUAUCCGGUCGGAUCGGAGAUUGUCUACGAAGUGUGGAAGUCGGGGAGCGACUGGCCGUAAUCUAUGCUGUCGAGAUUUGCCUCAGCGUGCUUUUUGUGCGACGAGUUUACCUGAGCUGAGUUCGAUUUCUCUGGAGUCGUCCCGCGCAUUGAAAUACGCAGAUGUAGGUAAAAUACGAGACGACGGCCGAACCGGCCGCUUUUUCAGAGAUGUGGUUAUCGUUAGAAAUGGAGACGGAUGGGAGAUAGAGUUAGACGGAUACAGGGUGCCAAGCAAAUCAGGCAAUCAAAUGGUGCUCCCAUCAGAGAGUCUCGCUAUUGGCGUGGCACUAGAUUGGGAGUACAUGCACGACCGAGUUGACCCGCGAAGAAUGUUUUUAUACAAAUUGGCAUCGAUUAGUGUGGAUUUGAGUAAGGCAGAGGAACAGUCUAGAAGGAAAUCUUUGAUACGAACAUUUGGCUUUGAUUUGUUAGGAUUGCGGACUGAAGUUGAGAACGAGCAUUUGAAUAAGCUUUGGGUCAAGCAUCACGAUCCAAUAAUCAAUUGGUUUCAAAGAGAAUUUGACACGGAGUUUUGUGUGUCGAAAGGCAUUUUUGCUGGCCAGGCCAAAGAGACCAGCGCAAUAAUUGAGAAGGCAGUGAGUUGUUUAGACAAUUGGACAUUGACUGGCUUAGCUGCUCUAUCUGACUCCACGCUUUCUGUAUUAAUAUCUCUGGCGCUUUGGAAUCGUGUAAUUACAGUGGAAGAAGCUGUGGAUGCCGCAUCUGUCGAACAUUUGGCGUUUGAAAAAGUGUGGGGCAGCGUCGAAGGAUCAACUGACUUGCGUAGACAAGAGCUAUUGACGGAUGUGGCGGCUUCCACAUUUUUCUUAAGAUCCUUACCUUCUGAUCCGUUGAACGGGGACAAAAUUGGUUAUUCGAAAAAAGUUUGAGGCUUGCAAUUAUAGAAUCUAACCACCCUAGUGUGAUAAAAAUACCUUUUGCUAUUUUUGACGAGCUAUAAAUUUUCCGAUAGGACGAAAACUAAUCUUUUGCGUGGAAACUGCAGAUCUAUUUUUUGAUUGUGAUACCUGUAUGGUAGACUAUGCUCUCAUAACACCAUUUUCGACAGAUAAAAAAAACUCUGAUCAAAAUCUUUAUUUUUAAUUCGAGCUCAGCAGAGGGUUCAUGACACGCAACGACGAACCAGAUCGUCUUUUUCAACAGCGUAGCGCGCGCUUGAAUGUACUAACUAGCUUUGAGGAUCAAAUUCACAAGAUCUCUUCCGAAUACAAUGCCUUGGAAAGCAAGCUUCACAAAGCAAGGCAUUCAAAAUAUCACAAUGUUAAUUUUGCGUAUUUGAAUCAUUUAAACAAUCACAUUUUGAUGAUGAGUGAUGUUGUCCAAUUUGGAGAGUCGAGUAAGUUGAAAAGGGGUGAAGAGAUCCUGAGCAAGCAAAUACAAAUAAUCAAAUCUCCUCGCCCGCAGGACGAGAAGAUGGACGCACUGUUGGAAUUGAAGAGAAUCCUGACUUCAUACCAAGGAUACGAUUUGCGUAUCUCCAAGUUGGGCAUAUUGGAUGCCCUGAUGGAAGAGUUGAGCGACGUCAACAAGGAAAACCACGUGAUAUCUCUCUGUCUCGAGAUACUCUCCAUGCUGACAACAUUUGCGGACUUUGAAAACUGCAAAAAGCGAGCAGAAUUAGUGAGCCAUGUUAUAUCCAGGUUAGGGAAGAACAAAACGAUCAACACGAUAGAAUUUUUAACACAAAUUCUGGCUAAUUGCUCCAACAUUCCAGGCAAACAUGACCCAAUUAUUGGAAUAUUAGACACACUAGUUCAGAAUUUGCAACUUUCCAAAAGUGUGAUGCUCUUCCAGCACUCUAUUCGAUGUAUUGUUAAUCUUUACGUGAACAAUCAGGAUAGAGACGAAUUGAAAAAAAUCAACAUCCUUGACCUGGUCACGUCUAGCUUGGAAUCUCAGCUGAAAUCAGUGAAGGAACAGGCCCUUUGGUGCUUUGCAUAUCUCUCAUUUAAUGCACGCGAUUGCUUCAAAUCCAGACCGGAUCUUAUAACUACCUUAUGUAAAAUUACCAUACACAAUAAUGCAUCUAAACCUGCGCACAGCAUGACAUGGAUAUGCCUAGCUAAUUUGGUGUUGAUCGAAGAAUACAGCUCGAAAAUCAUUGAAUUUGUAUCUAACGCGGCUAUGGAAUUUCUUACUAGUGAAGUAGAAUCGAUCAUCAUGGGCAUCAAAUCCCCCCUUCUCUAUGGGGUCAUCUCUUAUAUAGCAAAUAUGUUAUACACCGACAGUUUAAAUAUCAAAUCUGUUCCAGUCAUACCUUUAAUUGCAAACAUCGUGAAAAUCAUGGACUAUGGUGACUUUGAAAUAAAAGCUCAAGCCGCUCGUAUUUUGGCUCGACUAAGUGCAAAUAAAGAUUUACAUCGACGCAUCGAAGCUUCCCAGGCGUUUAACGCGGUUUUGGAUGUCCUGUGCAUGGGAUACAAAAAUAUUUAUCUACUUGAAGUAAUCGACCACUUCGCCUCCAAUCCAAAUUUUUAUCAAAAGUUGAAUCAUCCUAUAAUUCUCUAUACAUUGGCCAAAUUAUCAGCGCCCGGGACGAACGACAGCCAAAUACAACUCGUCGCUCACAACAUUCUGGAGAGACUACAACAAUACGGCGACGUGCAGCUUAAUUCUUGCAUCGAAGAGAUGAUGACGUCGCCAACUUCAUUUUCAAAGAACAUUGCUCGAAAUCACUAAUACAUCGUGUCAAUCCACACUAUAAACCCUCCUCUGAAUUGCUACCAUCAACGCGGCACAGACUGCCGAAAAGAUAAAAAACAGAUUGAAUAGGAAACGAUAAAACUCGAAACGCAUACCACUCAAGCUCAGCAUGAUGAUGGUCCUAGUUAUCUGAAGUUAGUCAAGUGGUUGCAUACACAAGAGUGAGCUUACGGCGUUUUAAUGGCCGGCCCUGGAAAGUUUCCAAAAUAUAUAUAUACCUGUAACUUUCUGGAAGCGUCUCUCUGAUCAAGAAAAUAACACUGAUAAAAUACAUGCCCGUGAUUUGACUGACCAAUAAAAUAAUGCUAGAUGAUGUGAUAGAAUAUGA
Molecule: RNA transcript, 4567 nt
Organism: Schistocerca gregaria
Lineage: Eukaryota; Metazoa; Arthropoda; Insecta; Orthoptera; Acrididae
Exons: 10
Source: RefSeq, a predicted model, not a curated record